Molecule: ribosomal RNA, 875 nt
Filed under: uncultured soil bacterium
Lineage: Bacteria
Description: bacterial SSU rRNA
Rfam family: Bacterial small subunit ribosomal RNA
Source: RNAcentral
AGUCGAACGGCAGCACGGGCUUCGGCCUGGUGGCGAGUGGCGAACGGGUGAGUAAUACAUCGGAACGUGCCCUGUAGUGGGGGAUAACUAGUCGAAAGAUUAGCUAAUACCGCAUACGACCUGAGGGUGAAAGCGGGGGACCGCAAGGCCUCGCGCUACAGGAGCGGCCGAUGUCUGAUUAGCUAGUUGGUGGGGUAAGAGCCUACCAAGGCGACGAUCAGUAGCUGGUCUGAGAGGACGAUCAGCCACACUGGGACUGAGACACGGCCCAGACUCCUACGGGAGGCAGCAGUGGGGAAUUUUGGACAAUGGGGGCAACCCUGAUCCAGCAAUGCCGCGUGUGUGAAGAAGGCCUUCGGGUUGUAAAGCACUUUUGUCCGGAAAGAAAUGGCCUGGGUGAAUACCCCGGGUCGAUGACGGUACCGGAAGAAUAAGCACCGGCUAACCACGUGCCAGCAGCCGCGGUAAUACGUAGGGUGCGAGCGUUAAUCGGAAUUACUGGGCGUAAAGCGUGCGCAGGCGGUUUUGUAAGACAGGCGUGAAAUCCCCGAGCUUAACUUGGGAAUGGCGCUUGUGACUGCAAGGCUAGAGUAUGUCAGAGGGGGGUAGAAUUCCACGUGUAGCAGUGAAAUGCGUAGAGAUGUGGAGGAAUACCGAUGGCGAANGCAGCCCCCUGGGACGUCACUGACGCUCAUGCACGAAAGCGUGGGGAGCAAACAGGAUUAGAUACCCUGGUAGUCCACGCCCUAAACGAUGUCAACUAGUUGUUGGGGAUUCAUUUCUUCAGUAACGUAGCUAACGCGUGAAGUUGACCGCCUGGGGAGUACGGUCGCAAGAUUAAAACUCAAGGAAUUGACGGGGACCCGCACAAGCGG